This 447-nucleotide ribosomal RNA is filed under the name uncultured bacterium. Its description in RNAcentral is "bacterial SSU rRNA". It matches the Rfam family "Bacterial small subunit ribosomal RNA", at positions 355 to 825 of the family's 1533-position model. The record is from RNAcentral.
UCGGGAAUAUUGGACAAUGGGCGAAAGCCUGAUCCAGCAAUGCCGCGUGAGUGAUGAAGGCCUUAGGGUUGUAAAGCUCUUUUACCAGGGAUGAUAAUGACAGUACCUGGAGAAUAAGCUCCGGCUAACUCCGUGCCAGCAGCCGCGGUAAUACGGAGGGAGCUAGCGUUGUUCGGAAUUACUGGGCGUAAAGCGUACGUAGGCGGUGACUCAAGUCAGAGGUGAAAGCCUGGAGCUCAACUCCAGAACUGCCUUUGAAACUAGGUCGCUAGAAUCACGGAGAGGUGAGUGGAAUUCCGAGUGUAGAGGUGAAAUUCGUAGAUAUUCGGAAGAACACCAGUGGCGAAGGCGGCUCACUGGACGUGUAUUGACGCUGAGGUACGAAAGCGUGGGGAGCAAACAGGAUUAGAUACACCAGUAGUCCCUGAGCGGGCUGGCAAGGCGCAU